Long non-coding RNA from Bombus impatiens (common eastern bumble bee), 1642 nucleotides. RefSeq lists it as uncharacterized. The transcript has 3 exons. Lineage: Eukaryota; Metazoa; Arthropoda; Insecta; Hymenoptera; Apidae. The record is from RefSeq and is a predicted model, not a curated record.
UGAUUUGCGACGACCCCGGUUCGACCGUUUAUUUUACUCUUGCUUCUGGUGCCACGAUGAAUCGCGUAUAAAAAUUGCGGACUCCGUUGUUUAUCUAACCGAAAGAAUAAACGUUUCGAAACUGCCUCGUUUUAUCCGCGAAGGAUUAGCUUCGUAAGCGUUCGCAUAGUUAAAAUUGACUUGGAAAAAAAUGAAAACGAUAUCGAUCAUUUUUCAUGCGUUUCAUCUCCAUCUUGUUGUUGGUAUUAAUUCUCCGUGUGGAUACGUAUAUACGAUACGAUUGACCGAGGUAUAAUUAAGAAUUUUCUCUUGAAUUUCUUAUUUCUGAAGAAGCGUCAUUUUUUCAAGGAAAAAUCGGCCAAGAAUAGAGUUUUGAAACAUAAUUUUUUUACACAAAUCUAAUCUGCUGGCUGUUUCUAUAAAAUCGUUUCAAGUAUCAUUCGUUAAACGACUAAUAAAACGUUAAAAUCAAAGAUAAUUUCGAACGAUUAACGAUAACGAAAGUAUAAGUUUCAUAUGUACGUACAUACGUGAAAAUAGUCCUUCUUUUUUCAAUUCUUUAUGAAGCGUUCGAUUUAUUUAUUGUUACAUUUAUACCACGCUAUAUUUGCAAAUUGUAACUCGGUUCAAGCAAAUUUAUUCAACGAUGAAUCAAAGUUCUUUGUGCGCUACUAUACUGCGUAUUUCAUUGUAGUUCGCCACAUAAAGCAGCUGAGAAUGAGUAACCUCUCUGGCGUGAUCUAUGUGCAGUUAACGCAGCCUCUUCUGAAAAUACGAUCGCUUCUAAACAACGCAUAUGUUUAUGCACGUAGAAUGUCAAUACCUGUCGCGUGUGACGUGUAAAGUAACUAAUGUUCCUUGAUCUAUCGCUUCCGGUACGUUGAACAAACUUCUCGAAUUCGAAGCCGUUCUACAUAUUAUUAUUCUAUGGCGUAACGCUGCGAUCCUUCACUAUGAUUCCAUCGGUUAUUAUACAGUAGCUCGCGAAAGCAUUUCAAUGCUUGUAGAAAUUUUGUAUAUUGUCUGUGUUAUAUGAAACAUUUCGAGAUUCCGUUAGCAUUAUCACGAGAUACCAAUUGUUAUAUUGAUAAAGUUUGAAAUAAAUCUGAAAAUAUAUAUAGUAGUUACAAAAUAUUUAAUGCAAAUAUAUAUUUCACAGAGGUCGUAGAAGCAUUAAGCAAUUAUUCGUUACAUUCCUAAGUCUUAAUAUUCAGUGAAAAAAAUCAUCUUUAACAUUUAUUAUAUGCUUAAAAUUGAUUUCAGAUUUAACCAGUAUAUUCAGGAUAAUUACGCUUCACUGCGAUAAAAACGAAAUGCAAUUUCUAAAUGUUUUAUAUAAUACACAUAACAUAUAUACGGAGGUUUUCUAUGGUAAAAAAAAAGUCUUAUAGCUGCUAUAUGACUCAAAACGACCAUGAACGAGUUUUGGAAACAUGACACGAUCUUCUUUCUUCUUAGAAGAUCAAAAAGAACUAAUAAAUUCUUCCGCGUCUUAGAACGAAAAACGAAUCCCGAAGGCCGAUGCACGUGCAGAAGCGCCGCAAGAAAAGUGUUCCGCUUACAUAAAUCUCAUCAGCUUGAAAGCCGCGGGUGCUGGAUUACUUCUAUCGUGACAGGCUACCGGCAGUCUCUCCAACGGAGU